UACGUAGGGUGCAAGCGUUGUUCGGAAUUAUUGGGCGUAAAGCGCGUGUAGGCGGCUGUCUAAGUCUGAUGUGAAAUCCCGGGGCUUAACUCCGGAAGUGCAUUGGAUACUGGAUAGCUAGAGGACGAGAGAGGAAAGUGGAAUUCCUGGUGUAGGGGUGAAAUCCGUAGAUAUCAGGAGGAACAUCGGUGGCGAAGGCGGCUUUCUGGCUCGUUUCUGACGCUCAGACGCGAAAGCGUGGGUAGCAAACAGG
RNAcentral lists this ribosomal RNA (253 nucleotides) under uncultured bacterium. RNAcentral's name for it is "partial 16S ribosomal RNA". It matches the Rfam family "Bacterial small subunit ribosomal RNA", at positions 524 to 776 of the family's 1533-position model. The record is from RNAcentral.